UACGUAGGGGGCAAGCGUUGUCCGGAUUUAUUGGGCGUAAAGAGCGUGUAGGCGGCCAGACAGGUCAGCUGUGAAAACUCGAGGCUCAACCUCGAGACGUCGGUUGAAACCGUCUGGCUAGAGUCCGGAAGAGGAGAGUGGAAUUCCCGGUGUAGCGGUGAAAUGCGCAGAUAUCGGGAAGAACACCCGUGGCGAAGGCGGCUCUCUGGGGCGGUACUGACGCUGAGACGCGAAAGCGUGGGGAGCGAACAGG
RNAcentral lists this ribosomal RNA (253 nucleotides) under uncultured bacterium. RNAcentral describes it as "partial 16S ribosomal RNA". It matches the Rfam family "Bacterial small subunit ribosomal RNA", at positions 524 to 776 of the family's 1533-position model. The record is from RNAcentral.